Molecule: long non-coding RNA, 1527 nt
Filed under: Homo sapiens (human)
Lineage: Eukaryota; Metazoa; Chordata; Mammalia; Primates; Hominidae
Description: HSALNT0051371
Source: RNAcentral
UCUUAAGACGGCAAUUCUCCCCAGACUGAUCUACAGAUUAAAUCAAUCCCUAUCAAAAUCCCAAGCGGUGUUUCUGUAGAAACUUAGAAAUUAAGCCUAAAAUUCAUAUGGAAAUGCAAAGGACCCAAAAGAGCCAAAACAAUUCUAAAAAACGAGAAAAUGGGAGAACGUUUACUUUCCAAUUUCAAAUUUACAAUAAAUUGAAAUUACUAUAAUCAAGACAGUGUGGUACUAGUAUAAGAAUAUGGCCGGGCGCGGUGGCUCAAACCUGUAAUUCCAGCACUUUGGGAGGCUGAGGCAGGUGGAUCAUGAGGUCAGGAGUUCAAGACCAGCCUGGCCAACAUAGUGAAACCCCAUCUCUACUAAAAAUACAAAAAAUUAGCUGGGAGGCAGAACUGCUUGAACCCAGGAGGCAGAGGUUGCAGUGAGUGGAGAUAGCACCACUGCACUCCAGUCUGGGCAACAGUGUGAGACUUUGUCUCGAAAAAAAAAAAGAAUAGACACACACUGUAAUGGAACAAAACUGAGUCCAGAAAUAAACCCUUAUUUGUAAGGUCAAUUGCUUUUCAGCAAAGAUACCAAGAUAAUUCAAUGAAGAAAGAUAAUCGUUUCAACAAAUGGCGCUGGGAUAACUGGCUAUCUAUAUGCUAAAUAGGUGAAUUUAGACUUUUACCCACAACAUUAAAAUUUUAAAAAUUAAAACUCCAGGAGGCUGAGGCAGGAGAACAGCUUGAACCCUGGAGGCAGAGGUUGCAGUGAGCUGAGAUCGUGCUACUGCACUCUAGCCUGGGCAACAGAGCGAGACUCAACCUCAAAAAAAAAAUUAAAACUCAAAAUGGAUUUGAGACCUAAAUGUAAGCACUCAAACUUAAAACUUCUAGAGGAGAACACAGGAGAAAAUUGUCAUGACCUUACCUAGGCAAGUAUAUUUUGGAGAUGACAUUAAAAAACAUAAUCCAUAAAAGAAAAAAAACUCUAUAAAUUGAAAAAUCAAAAUUAAAAACUUUUACAGUUCAGGAGUCACCAUAACCCACAGUCUGGGAGAAAAUAUUUAUAAUGCAUAUAUCUGAUAAAGGACUUAUAUCCAGAAUAUAUAAAAAACUCACAACUCAAUAAGACAAUCCAACUAAUAAAAUGGGCAAAAUAUCUGAAUAUAUUAGUUCAUUCUCUCACAUUGCUAUAAAGAAAUACCUGAGACUGAGUAAUUUAUAGAGAAAAGAGGCUUAAUUGGCUCAUAGUUCUGCAGGAUGUACAGGAAGCACAGCAGCUUCUGCUUCUGGGGAGGCCUCAGGAAGCUUCCAAUCAUGGCAGAAGGCAAAGGGGGAGCAAGGAGUCUCACAUGGUGGAAGCAGGAGCAAGAAAGAGAAGGGGGAGGUGCCACACACUUUUAAACAGCCAGAUCGCAAGAGAACUCACUACCACAGACCACAGUACCAAAGCGGAUGGUGCUAAACCAUUCAUGAGAAACCGCCCCCACGGUGACUAGGACUCGUACUCCCAUGGAGCAGGCCCAUCACACCCUACCUC